GGUUGUAAACCUCUUUCAGUAGGGAAGAAGCGAAAGUGACGGUACCUGCAGAAGAAGCACCGGCUAACUACGUGCCAGCAGCCGCGGUAAUACGUAGGGUGCGAGCGUAUCCGGGAAUUAUUGGGCGUAAAGAGCUCGUAGGCGGUUUGUCGCGUCUGUCGUGAAAGUCCGGGGCUUAACCCCGGAUCUGCGGUGGGUACGGGCAGACUAGAGUGCAGUAGGGGAGACUGGAAUUCCUGGUGUAGCGGUGGAAUGCGCAGAUAUCAGGAGGAACACCGAUGGCGAAGGCAGGUCUCUGGGCUGUAACUGACGCUGAGGAGCGAAAGCAUGGGGAGCGAACAGGAUUAGAUACCCUGGUAGUCCAUGCCGUAAACGUUGGGCACUAGGUGUGGGGACCAUUCCACGGUUUCCGCGCCGCAGCUAACGCAUUAAGUGCCCCGCCUGGGGAGUACGGCCGCAAGGCUAAAACUCAAAGGAAUUGACGGGGGCCCGCACAAGCGGCGGAGCAUGCGGAUUAAUUCGAUGCAACGCGAAGAACCUUACCAAGGCUUGACAUGUUCCCGAUCGCCGUAGAGAUACGGUUUCCCCUUUGGGGCGGGUUCACAGGUGGUGCAUGGUUGUCGUCAGCUCGUGUCGUGAGAUGUUGGGUUAAGUCCCGCAACGAGCGCAACCCUCGUUCCAUGUUGCCAGCACGUAAUGGUGGGGACUCAUGGGAGACUGCCGGGGUCAACUCGGAGGAAGGUGAGGACGACGUCAAAUCAUCAUGCCCCUUAUGUCUUGGGCUUCACGCAUGCUACAAUGGCCGGUACAAUGGGUUGCGAUACUGUGAGGUGGAGCUAAUCCCAAAAAGCCGGUCUCAGUUCGGAUUGGGGUCUGCAACUCGACCCCAUGAAGUCGGAGUCGCUAGUAAUCGCAGAUCAGCAACGCUGCGGUGAAUACGUUCCCGGGCCUUGUACACACCGCCCGGCAAGUCACGAAAGUUGGUAACACCCGAAGCCGG
RNAcentral lists this ribosomal RNA (1000 nucleotides) under Micrococcus luteus. RNAcentral's name for it is "bacterial SSU rRNA". It matches the Rfam family "Bacterial small subunit ribosomal RNA", at positions 421 to 1430 of the family's 1533-position model. Lineage: Bacteria; Bacillati; Actinomycetota; Actinomycetes; Micrococcales; Micrococcaceae. The record is from RNAcentral.